UGUAAGCGUAUACCAAAGUUGUUGCAGUUAAAACGCUCGUAGUCGGAAUUUGGCAGUUCCGGAUGUGUGCACGUCGUGUGCGCACUUCGCGGGGAUUGCUUUUGUGGUCUUGCGUAGGAUGAGGCACAUUUAUUAGUGAACGUCCUCACGCAACCACUUUUUACUGUGAGAAAAUCAGAGUGCUCAAAGCAGGCAUUUGCCGUGAAUGUAUUAGCAUGGAAUAAUAGAAUAGGACUUGGUUCUAUUUUGUUGGUUUGUUGGGACUGAGUAAUGAUUAAGAGGGGCAGUUGGGGGCAUUUGUAUUUCGGUGCUAGAGGUGAAAUUCUUAGAUUACCGAAAGACAAACUGCUGCGAAAGCGUCUGCCAAGGAUGUUUUCAUUGA
This 382-nucleotide ribosomal RNA is filed under the name uncultured eukaryote. RNAcentral describes it as "partial 18S ribosomal RNA". It matches the Rfam family "Eukaryotic small subunit ribosomal RNA", at positions 592 to 976 of the family's 1831-position model. The record is from RNAcentral.